RNAcentral lists this long non-coding RNA (224 nucleotides) under Nicotiana benthamiana. RNAcentral describes it as "long non-coding RNA (NBEN_LNC020604)". The record is from RNAcentral. Lineage: Eukaryota; Viridiplantae; Streptophyta; Magnoliopsida; Solanales; Solanaceae.
AGAACCUAGCAUUUACCGUCUCAAAAAUAGUUCGUGAUGUGGGAUCAUAAAACUUAAAACCCUUGGAUUUUUCAGAAUAUCCAACAAAAUAGCUACUAAGCUUCUUAGCGUCCAGUUUCUUUUCAACGGCCUAUAAGGCCUUGCCUCAGCUGGACAACCCCAAAUGUGAAAAUGCCGAAUACCGGGUUUAUGCCCAGUCCAAAGUUCAUAUGGGGUUUUUAGNN